Molecule: long non-coding RNA, 1041 nt
Filed under: Gallus gallus (chicken)
Lineage: Eukaryota; Metazoa; Chordata; Aves; Galliformes; Phasianidae
Description: lncRNA (ENSGALG00010019014.1)
Source: RNAcentral
AUCUUACUGGUGAUACCUGGAUAUCUGAGUCUUUCUGAAGAGAUGAGAGCCACAUUUCCUAGCCAUGGAGCUUUUUGCAUAUAGAGCCUUGCUGCAAAUUACACUACCAGUAAUCCACUGGAGGAGCUGAAAAUGGCAAAGUGGCUAUGUGCUGAGGGAAGCUGAGGGCAGGACCCAGCAAGGGAACAGCGUCACAUUCAAGUGUGGUUUUCAAGAGGAAUAUUCCCCCCCUGGGCAUUUGCUACCUGAAGCACUCAAAGAGAUCACAACUGUGUAAAAAAAAUCUGAGCUCCCUUCAGACUCUCUCAGCUUUUACAUCUCUGAAAUGGCUUCUCAUUGGCAAUACUUGAAGUUUAACUAUUGAAGCUCCCAGCACUGUGCCACAUCCAGCUUUGACUGUACUAACAGGGCAUUUCCUAGGCUAUAGGAUGGAGGUUGAAAGUACCCAAAUGCUAAGACCUAUUAGAGUUAAGUGCUGUGGUUUCCACUAUUUGUAUUUCAAGACUAAGAAACAGCUAUUUUAUCUCAAUAGGUUAGAAGAGUACAAGAGCAAAAAAAAGCCUAUCAAAGAAUGAAUUAAAAAAUAUAGAUACUUAUGUUUGUCAUAGGGGGAAAUAGUCCAUUAAAAGGCAAGACCCUCACAUUUUGUGGUUAGUUUCAUUUGCCAGUUUGGCUCCUAUGCAAAUAAAAUAGGAAUUUAUUACAAGAUUUGUAUCAUUUAAUCACUAUAUUUCUUGCAAUUUCUAGUUCUGGAGGUUCUGCAUAGGCUUGAACAAAGCUGCAGAGUUCAGUACUGUGUAUUGACUCCUGUUUCCAGAGUUACCUAGUGGUUUCUAUCUGCCCUCAGAAUCUAAGCUGUUUAUUCCUUGCCAUGAAAACAUCACUUCCCAAAACUGUUUUAUGAAGUCCACAGCAUUUCUAUAGGGUUAUCUUUUUUUUUUUCCGUAACAUCCAGGGGGAGGGGAGGGCCAUAGAUUAUGGUUACACCACACUUGGCAUGUCUUUAUUUCCCUUGCAAUGCUUCUAGUUAUAAAUCUUCCC